Molecule: long non-coding RNA, 4797 nt
Organism: Orcinus orca (killer whale)
Lineage: Eukaryota; Metazoa; Chordata; Mammalia; Artiodactyla; Delphinidae
Exons: 3
Source: RefSeq, a predicted model, not a curated record
GAGCGGGGGCUACUCUUGGUUGCGGUGACCGGGGGCUACUCUUGGUUGCGGUGCGCAGGUUCUCACUUCAGUGGCUUUUCUUGUUGUGCAGCAUGGGCUCUAGGUGCGUGGGCUUCAGUAGUUGUGGCUCGUGGGCUCAGUAGUUGUGGCUCACAGGCUCUAAAGCGCAGGCUCAUGGCACACAGGCUUAGCUGCUCCGUGGCAUGUGGGAUCUUCCUGGACCAGGGCUCGAACCCAUGUCCCCUGCAUUGGCAGGCAGAUUCAUAACCACUGCGCCACGAGGGAAGUCCCUCAGACAGAGUUUUGAUACUGAAAACUAUCUUCAAAGUUAUGUUAGUGAAUGAAAUAGCCAUCAGGUUCAUAUCUGACUGGAGGCAAGGAUGUCAGUAACUUUGGGAAUCUCCAGCCUGCUUUCUCCUUUAAUCCACUGAGAAAUGGAUUUGUGAUCAUGGUACUCAGACUCAGACCAAACCCACUAUCAGAACCACACAGAUUAAAGAGUAGUCAGGAAAUUGAUAAGGUGAAUAGACUUUGACCUAGGUCUGGUCAAAUGCAUGUAGCUGACCUCCAAUUUACUUGGGCUCAAGUAAAUGCUUGGAAUGGACUGACAAUGUUUUGUAUACUAAUACUUGGCUAGAGGCAGAGCCUCCAGUGUACCAGAGUCCUGAGCACCAUUCUCAUCCUGGCCCUGCCAUUUACCCCAGUCACUAAUAUGGGCAACCAGUUCCACACAGGUGUCAUCUGACAGCACCUCAGCCCACACCCACACUAUGGAUCUCUAGAUUUUGCGCCAGGGUUUCUCUGACACCAGGAUCUGUGAUGCCUGUUGAAAGCUUCCUGGCAGUCACACAUGCACAAUUCAGAGGUGUUCAGCAAUCAUUACUUUUGAGGCUCCCCUUGGAUCGGAUGUUGUAGGUAGACAGAAAUAAGGACCCCAUUGUGGUGGAAGUGCAGAUCCAGUAGCAACACAGUUAAGGCUCUCACCUGUGGUGGACUGGGAUAAGCUACAGGUAGAAGGAGAAGCUUUGGGUUAUGCAGUUGCUGUGCACCUGAACAAUAUGGAAGCAAUGAUAAUGAUAAGAAAUGGGGAAUUCAUUGGCUUUUGCAAACUGCUUUGGAAAUCUUGAAAAGAGGAAAUUGAUGGAGUCAGGUUAACCAACAAUCAACUCAAGCGUACUGUGAACUCUAGAAGAUCUCCACGGCAAUGUUUAAAACACUUUAUCUCCUAGAGGUGCAGGGAAUAUUGUCUUGAAUAUUAAACCGAUAACUGAGUCAUAAGGUGACAAAGUCAAAAGGCGACAGAAUACAAAGCAUCAACAGGUCUCCUAUUUCAGUUAGGGUCCUUAAAGGAAAAGUUUAAGAUCUUAAGACCUGGGAUAGGGUAGACAAGUCUGAAAAUAUUGUCACUAGAUAUAUUUUAAUCCUCCAGGAGAGCAGAACCAGCCUUUUUCCCCCCAGCUAGAAGAGAACAGCCUCACCUGGCCAGGACACCCUGCAAAGAACUUACCUGAACCUUGCCUUGCAGAAUGAUGCUUGUCCUCCUUAAGAUCCUCUCCCACCUCCACUCUCUGCCUCCAGGAUAACUAGAGCCAGGGCUUGGCUCAAGCAGGAGGGGAAAUAUAUCCCAGCUCCAGUAGGAAAUAGUUUUACUGAAUGAAUUGAAGGCCAUGGUUAACGCAUUCAGCCAGGAACCUGGUUAUGCUAGUGGGAUUGAGUCUCGAGGAUGUCGGACCAGGUAGGGUGAAUGGAAAGCAGAGAAUUAAUUGACAUGACAGCCCUCUUCUUUGAUUUAAACUGUCCUGGCAAGGAAACUAUCCACGGCAAAGAUAGUUUCUUGAGGUUUGGACAAAAUAAGGGCCUACAAUAAAUAAAGUUCAGUUGCUGGAACUUACCUGACAUAGCUCUGAGAAAGCUCAAGACAAGUAGAAAUAUUAGAGUAGACUUAUUUUUUCUUGAUUAUUCAUUUAUGACAGAUCACAGAAAGUGUUCAUUAGGAAUUAACAGAGGCAAAAUGUAAUUUAAAUUUCUACAAGCAUCUAAGUUUUUUUAAAAAGUUUGUAGGAAAUACACAUAGAUUCCAUUUCACAUAACUGAAUUCCAUCAAGCUCUUUGAUUUUUGUCAUCAUCAUUGAAUGACCUAUACUGGCCAAUAAGGCAUGGUUUAUACUUGAACAGUGGUGACAAUUUUAAAAAAUUUUAGCGUGGUAAAAUAUACAUACAUACAACUUACCAUUUUAACAACUUUUAAGCCUAUUACUCAGUGGCAUUAAGUACAUUCACACUGUUGUGCAACCAUCACACUACCCAUCUCCAGAACACUUUCUGUGUUCCUGAUUAGACUGGCAUUCAGACAAAGAUUCAAGAGGAUUCCUGCAAAGACUUCUUGAGUUCUUUUUGUAUAACUCUCUCCUCUCAGGUACUCUGCCUCUAAAACUAUAGUUGCCUUGGUCUUCUUGAACUACAAUCUCUAUCUACCCAAUUCAGUGAGACUGUCACAUUCCAUAUAGUUUCCUCUGCCUAAAGCACAGCCUUGGAGCUACCUACAAGCAGAAAGCCUAUGCCAUGGUAGGUCUUGUCCCAUUCGUUUCCCUCUUCCCAGGGAUCACAAUCUUGUUUGACUCUUGUCCAGUGUUUGAAAACAAUUAUUUCCUAUAUUUUGCUUAGUUUUCUACUUGCUUAGGUUCAAAAGGUAAUUCCAGACUGGAUUAUUCCCUCAUGGCUGGAAGCAGUUAUCAGAAAGUUCUUCAAGUAACUCAGCUUAAGUGUCAGCUCAGGGAAAAUAUCCUGCUGUUAGGACACUGUCUUCCAGGAUAUUGUACAUAUGUGCUAAAACAAGAGCUGGUAUAUAGUGCCAUGUCCCCUGUGUCUAGCAACACUGGUCCAGGAAACACGAGGCAGAAGUAGCAUUGGCCCCCCACUCACCAACACUCCUUAUAAUCUAGUUAAAAUUUGUGUUUCCCAUUCCCACAAUUACAAUUCUGUUGUAGUAAUCAAUUUCUGUUGAAUUAAUCAUCCUACCUUUAAGUAGGAGAAUAUUUCCCUAGGGGAAAUGGUAGGCCUUCUACUGAACUUGAGGCUAUGACCUGUUAACUUUGGCCUCCUCAAGGCAGUAGACUAGCAAGCAGAGAAAGGUGUUCUAAUACUGGCAAGAAUAAUUGACUCUGAUUACCAUGAAAAGCUAAGGCUGCUCUUAAAUAAUGUGUGCAGGGAGGAGUAUUCUGGAACACAGGAGAUUCACCAGGAUAUCAACUGAUGAUUGAUCAGUGAUGAUGAAACAGGCAGUUGCAGCAGUCAUGGACUUACAAAGACAACUAAAGGGCCAGACUCCUUCGAGAUGAGGGUCUGAGUCAUCCAUUCAGGAAAGCAACCAAGAUCAGCCAAAGAACCAGCUGAGGGUAAGGGAAAUCUAGGGCAGACAGUAGGAAAGGGAGAUGACAAAUAUUAAUUAUGGACUAGGGACAUAUUGCAGCAGCAGGGAAUGUAACUUCUUCUACUAACCUUCUUGUAUUAAAUCUUUGUAGGGUUUGCAGCUGGCCAAAGUUUGAAGACCACUCUGGACAGAUUGGAUUUAAUGCAGAACAGAAAAGUAUAUAAGGACAAAGGUUGAACCCUAUUGGAAAUAUGUUGUGGUUUCAAAAUAAGUCCACAAAUUCUUUGCUGCUCCUUCAUUCAAAAGGUGACACCUAAUUCCCUUCCCCUUAAGUGUGGACUGUACUUAGUGACUCACUUCUAAGGAAUAGAAUGUGGUGCAAGUGACAGUGUAUGACUUCUGAGACGAGGUCAUAAAAGGCCUUGUGACCCCUCUCUCUCUCAUCACUCAUUAAAGGAAGCCAGUUGCCAUAUCAUAAGGACACUCUUAACAGCCCUACGUUGUGGGUGAACUAAUGUAGUGAUCUUUCAGCCCUAAUCAAGCUUUCAGAUAAAUGCAACCCUGGCUUGAAAUAUUGGAUGUAACAUCAUGAGAGACCCUGAGCCAGAACCACCAGUUAAGUUGCUCCUGAGUUACUGACCCAUAGAAACUCUUUCCUUUUCAUUGCCGACCAGGACUCCACUGCAUGAACACGCCAGUUUCCUUAUCCAUCCUUCUGUGAAUAUGCUGUUCCUAGUAUUUGACUAUUAUGAAUAAUGUCGCUGUGAACAUUCUUACCCAAAUCUGGCUGUAUAUAGAUAUUUUCACUGAGGAUAUGCAGGCUAAGACAGCAGAGAAAGCUGGAGAGCUGAGAAGGUACAACGCCAUUCCCUCCCCCGCUCCUAUGAAGAGCAAGGGCGAUGCUUCUCUCUUCUGGUGACGCCUCACCUCUCCUAGGUUAAUAGGUGUGCUUCCAUGUGAUGUCUGAGGGAGAGGGGGUGAAAAAUGCACCUCUGACUAGGAGUAUUCUAUAAGACCACAUGCAGUUAAAUUUCUAUAUCCUUCACAAUUAAAGAAAUCUUUUGUCUUUUUUUUUUUUUUUUUUGCGGUACUCAGGCCUCUCACUGUUGUGGCCUCUCCCGUUGCGGAGCACAGGCUCCGGGCGCGCAGGCUCAGCGGUCAUGGCUCACGGGCCCAGCCGCUCCGCCGCAUGUGGGAUCUUCCCGGACCGGGGCACGAACCCGUGUCCCCUGCAUCGGCAGGUGGACUCUCAACCACUGCGCCACCAGGGAAGCCCAAAUCUUUUGUCUUUUGACUCUGUUAUCACUGUUAGAAUCACUAAGAUGGCCAUUCACACUAAGUUCAAAUACAAAGGACACUGGUCUAAGAAACAGGCAGAGACAUGGCUUAGAAAAUAAAAUUCUUCUUUCAUUCAUCACCUGAACUUC